This 465-nucleotide ribosomal RNA is filed under the name Vreelandella stevensii. Its description in RNAcentral is "partial 16S ribosomal RNA". It matches the Rfam family "Bacterial small subunit ribosomal RNA", at positions 338 to 795 of the family's 1533-position model. Lineage: Bacteria; Pseudomonadati; Pseudomonadota; Gammaproteobacteria; Oceanospirillales; Halomonadaceae. The record is from RNAcentral.
CCUACGGGGGGCUGCAGUGGGGAAUAUUGGACAAUGGGGGCAACCCUGAUCCAGCCAUGCCGCGUGUGUGAAGAAUGCCCUCGGGUUGUAAAGCACUUUCAGUGAGGAAGAACGCCUGGUGGUUAAUACCCAUCAGGAAAGACAUCACUCACAGAAGAAGCACCGGCUAACUCCGUGCCAGCAGCCGCGGUAAUACGGAGGGUGCGAGCGUUAAUCGGAAUUACUGGGCGUAAAGCGCGCGUAGGUGGCUUGAUAAGCCGGUUGUGAAAGCCCCGGGCUCAACCUGGGAACGGCAUCCGGAACUGUCAAGCUAGAGUGCAGGAGAGGAAGGUAGAAUUCCCGGUGUAGCGGUGAAAUGCGUAGAGAUCGGGAGGAAUACCAGUGGCGAAGGCGGCCUUCUGGACUGACACUGACACUGAGGUGCGAAAGCGUGGGUAGCAAACAGGAUUAGAUACCCCAGUAGUC